GUGCCUAUACGUGCAAGGUCGAGCGAACAGACGAGGAGCUUGCUCCUCUGACGUUAGCGGCGGACGGGUGAGUAACACGUGGAUAACCUACCUAUAAGACUGGGAUAACUUCGGGAAACCGGAGCUAAUACCGGAUAACAUGUUGAACCGCAUGGUUCAACAGUGAAAGACGGUCUUGCUGUCACUUAUAGAUGGAUCCGCGCCGCAUUAGCUAGUUGGUAAGGUAACGGCUUACCAAGGCAACGAUGCGUAGCCGACCUGAGAGGGUGAUCGGCCACACUGGAACUGAGACACGGUCCAGACUCCUACGGGAGGCAGCAGUAGGGAAUCUUCCGCAAUGGGCGAAAGCCUGACGGAGCAACGCCGCGUGAGUGAUGAAGGUCUUCGGAUCGUAAAACUCUGUUAUUAGGGAAGAACAAAUGUGUAAGUAACUAUGCACGUCUUGACGGUACCUAAUCAGAAAGCCACGGCUAACUACGUGCCAGCAGCCGCGGUAAUACGUAGGUGGCAAGCGUUAUCCGGAAUUAUUGGGCGUAAAGCGCGCGUAGGCGGUUUUUUAAGUCUGAUGUGAGAGCCCACGGCUCAACCGUGGAGGGUCAUUGGAAACUGGAAAACUGGAGUGUAGAAAAGGAAAGUGGAAUUCCAUGAGUAGCGGUGAAUCGCCUUGAGUAUGGAGGU
RNAcentral lists this ribosomal RNA (678 nucleotides) under Staphylococcus sp. HPCKc-36. RNAcentral describes it as "bacterial SSU rRNA". It matches the Rfam family "Bacterial small subunit ribosomal RNA", at positions 44 to 705 of the family's 1533-position model. Lineage: Bacteria; Bacillati; Bacillota; Bacilli; Caryophanales; Staphylococcaceae. The record is from RNAcentral.